AAUACCAAGAUCCAUCUUACUCUUUUGUA
This 29-nucleotide small RNA is filed under the name Arabidopsis thaliana (thale cress). Its description in RNAcentral is "ATSL008330". The record is from RNAcentral. Lineage: Eukaryota; Viridiplantae; Streptophyta; Magnoliopsida; Brassicales; Brassicaceae.